CCUACGGGAGGCAGCAGUGAGGAAUAUUGGUCAAUGGGCGCGAGCCUGAACCAGCCAAGUAGCGUGAAGGAUGACUGCCCUACGGGUUGUAAACUUCUUUUAUCAAGGAAUAAAGUGAGGCACGUGUGCCUUUUUGUAUGUACUUUAUGAAUAAGGCUCGGAUAACUCCGUGCCAGCAGCCGCGGUAAUACGGAGGAUCCGAGCGUUAACCGGAUUUUUUGGGUUUAAAGGGAGCGUAGAUGGGUUGUUAAGUCCGUUGUGAAAGUUUGCGGCGCAACCGUAAAAUUGCAAUUGAUACUGGCAGUCUUGAGUAGAGGUGAGGUAUGCGGAAUGCGUGGUGUAGCGGUGAAAUGCUUAGAUAUCACGCAGAACUCCGAUUGCGAAGGCAGCAUACCAAACUCCAACUGACACUGAUGCACGAAAGUGUGGGUAUCGAACAGGAUUAGAUACCCGUGUAGUC
RNAcentral lists this ribosomal RNA (460 nucleotides) under uncultured bacterium. Its description in RNAcentral is "partial 16S ribosomal RNA". It matches the Rfam family "Bacterial small subunit ribosomal RNA", at positions 338 to 795 of the family's 1533-position model. The record is from RNAcentral.